UACGAAGGGGGCUAGCGUUGCUCGGAAUCACUGGGCGUAAAGGGCGCGUAGGCGGCCAUUCAAGUCAGGGGUGAAAGCCUGUGGCUCAACCACAGAAUUGCCUUUGAUACUGUUUGGCUAGAGACCGGAAGAGGUAAGUGGAACUGCGAGUGUAGAGGUGAAAUUCGUAGAUAUUCGCAAGAACACCAGUGGCGAAGGCGGACUCACUGGACCGAUACUGACGCUGA
Molecule: ribosomal RNA, 227 nt
Filed under: uncultured bacterium
Lineage: Bacteria
Description: partial 16S ribosomal RNA
Rfam family: Bacterial small subunit ribosomal RNA
Source: RNAcentral